AUUUUGUCAGAAAAAGAAUUGGAAGAGAAGAUGUGUGGAUUAUCGACACCUACA
Molecule: small RNA, 54 nt
Filed under: Archaeoglobus fulgidus
Lineage: Archaea; Methanobacteriati; Methanobacteriota; Archaeoglobi; Archaeoglobales; Archaeoglobaceae
Source: RNAcentral